RNAcentral lists this ribosomal RNA (253 nucleotides) under uncultured bacterium. Its description in RNAcentral is "partial 16S ribosomal RNA". It matches the Rfam family "Bacterial small subunit ribosomal RNA", at positions 524 to 776 of the family's 1533-position model. The record is from RNAcentral.
UACGGAAUGUGCAAACGUUAUUCGGAAUCACUGGGCUUAAAGAGUCCGUAGGCGGCAUGUUAGGUGAGGUGUGAAAUCCCCCGGCUCAACCGAGGAAUUGCGCUUCAAACCGGCGUGCUAGAGGAAGAUAGAGGUGGGCGGAACUGAUGGUGGAGCGGUGAAAUGCGUUGAUAUCAUCAGGAACACCGGAGGCGAAGGCGGCCCACUGGGUCUUUUCUGACGCUGAGGGACGAAAGCUAGGGGAGCGAACAGG